ACUCCUACGGGAUGCAGCAGUGGGGAAUAUUGCACAAUGGGCGAAAGCCUGAUGCAGCAACGCCGCGUGAGGGAUGACGGCCUUCGGGUUGUAAACCUCUUUUAGUACAGAAGAAGCAGUGACGGUAUGUGCAGAAAAAGCACCGGCUAACUACGUGCCAGCAGCCGCGGUAAUACGUAGGGUGCAAGCGUUGUCCGGAAUUAUUGGGCGUAAAGAGCUCGUAGGCGGUUUGUCGCGUCUGCUGUGAAAUCCGGAGGCUCAACCUCCGGCCUGCAGUGGGUACGGGCAGACUAGAGUGCGGUAGGGGAGAUUGGAAUUCCUGGUGUAGCGGUGGAAUGCGCAGAUAUCAGGAGGAACACCGAUGGCGAAGGCAGAUCUCUGGGCCGUAACUGACGCUGAGGAGCGAAAGCAUGGGGAGCGAACAGGAUUAGAUACCCUGGUAGUCCAUGCCGUAAACGUUGGGAACUAGAUGUAGGGGCCAUUCCACGGUUUCUGUGUCGCAGCUAACGCAUUAAGUUCCCCGCCUGGGGAGUACGGCCGCAAGGCUAAAACUCAAAGGAAUUGACGGGGGCCCGCACAAGCGGCGGAGCAUGCGGAUUAAUUCGAUGCAACGCGAAGAACCUUACCAAGGCUUGACAUGAACGAGAACGGGCCAGAAAUGGUCAACUCUUUGGACUCGUUUACAGGUGGUGCAUGGUUGUCGUCAGCUCGUGUCGUGAGAUGUUGGGUUAAGUCCCGCAACGAGCGCAACCCUCGUUCUAUGUUGCCAGCACGUUAUGGUGGGAACUCAUAGGAGACUGCCGGGGUCAACUCGGA
This 816-nucleotide ribosomal RNA is filed under the name uncultured Actinomycetes bacterium. Its description in RNAcentral is "bacterial SSU rRNA". It matches the Rfam family "Bacterial small subunit ribosomal RNA", at positions 335 to 1167 of the family's 1533-position model. Lineage: Bacteria; Bacillati; Actinomycetota; Actinomycetes. The record is from RNAcentral.